This 963-nucleotide long non-coding RNA is filed under the name Nicotiana tabacum (common tobacco). RNAcentral describes it as "long non-coding RNA (NTAB_LNC016218)". The record is from RNAcentral. Lineage: Eukaryota; Viridiplantae; Streptophyta; Magnoliopsida; Solanales; Solanaceae.
GGGAAAUUUAUUUCAAGCUUGCUGGCAGGUUAGGGUUUAGUUUUACCCUUAUUCUUAACUCAUCGCUAAUAUCUACAUUUAAAGAAAAAUAGAUAAAUUGUUUUAUUUAAUUUAGUUUUUUCAAUUCUCAAGGAAGAUAAGUGAAGCAAUGUGUAAAAUUAUUGAAGAAUUAGCAGGUAAAGCCUCUUUGUGCUAGUUUCCUCCUUUUUUAAAAUAAAAUUUUAAAAAAAAUCUGCUUAUUGGUAAUAUUUUGAUAUUUUGUUAUAUCAGUUGCAGGUGUCUUGUUUACUGGAGUUGCUGCUUUCAUAAACAAUUUUGAGUGAGUUCUUACAUUUUGCUAAUUAUAAUUAAAAUGUUUUGGUAGUGCAUAUUUGAAUCUACUUAGUUGGUUUCGAGUUAAUUCAGUUCAUUUUAUUCCUUUUAUUUUUGGUAGAUAAGAAAACGGUAAAAUUGUCUUCAUGUGACCUAUAGGUCACGGAUUCGAGCCAUAAAAUCAGUCAUGAAUAUAUACAGUGCGGGCCUUGCCCGGAUCAAUGCAUGAGCUUCGUGCACCGGGCUAUUCUUUAUUUAAGAAAAUCAAUCAUAGAGCAAUUUCAAUUCACUUAGACAUAUUUUCUUUCAGAUGGGGAUCUUUUAAAUUUGAAUAUAAUAUAUGUCUCUUUCACACACAAUUUUAACUAAUUUUCGUUUUAAAUUUAAUUAACAUGUUGACCUUAUUUUGUUCUGAUUAAUUACAGUAUGAGAAAGGCAUAUGAUAAAACCAUGGGAAGGGCUCAUAGAGAGUAUACCACGUAAGUUGGCAUAUAAUAUGUAUAAUUUAAUUUUAAUUUUACUUUCUUCUAUUGUGGUUGUUUACAAAAAGUUUUUAAAAAAAUCAAUUCUAUCAAUUAAGCUAUAAUUUAAUUAAAAUAUGUAUGCAGGUGGAUCAAUGGUGAGGAAAAGACUAGAGGAACACUGGCCAAG